AUUGAACGCUGGCGGCAGGCCUAACACAUGCAAGUCGAGCGGAUGAAGGGAGCUUGCUCCUGGAUUCAGCGGCGGACGGGUGAGUAAUGCCUAGGAAUCUGCCUGGUAGUGGGGGAUAACGUCCGGAAACGGGCGCUAAUACCGCAUACGUCCUGAGGGAGAAAGUGGGGGAUCUUCGGACCUCAGGCUAUCAGAUGAGCCUAGGUCGGAUUAGCUAGUUGGUAGGGUAAAGGCCUACCAAGGCGACGAUCCGUAACUGGUCUGAGAGGAUGAUCAGUCACACUGGAACUGAGACACGGUCCAGACUCCUACGGGAGGCAGCAGUGGGGAAUAUUGGACAAUGGGCGAAAGCCUGAUCCAGCCAUGCCGCGUGUGUGAAGAAGGUCUUCGGAUUGUAAAGCACUUUAAGUUGGGAGGAAGGGCAGUAAGUUAAUACCUUGCUGUUUUGACGUUACCAACAGAAUAAGCACCGGCUAACUUCGUG
This 484-nucleotide ribosomal RNA is filed under the name uncultured bacterium. RNAcentral's name for it is "partial 16S ribosomal RNA". It matches the Rfam family "Bacterial small subunit ribosomal RNA", at positions 30 to 507 of the family's 1533-position model. The record is from RNAcentral.